This 250-nucleotide ribosomal RNA is filed under the name uncultured bacterium. RNAcentral's name for it is "partial 16S ribosomal RNA". It matches the Rfam family "Bacterial small subunit ribosomal RNA", at positions 524 to 773 of the family's 1533-position model. The record is from RNAcentral.
GACAGAGGGUGCAAGCGUUAAUCGGAAUAACUGGGCGUAAAGGGCACGUAGGUGGAUUUUUAAGUCAAGUGUGAAAUCCCUGGGCUUAACCUGGGAACUGCACGUGAUACUGAAUAUCUAGAGUACAGUAGAGGGAAGUGGAAUUUCCGGUGUAGCGGUGAAAUGCGUAGAUAUCGGAAGGAACACCAGUGGCGAAGGCGGCUUUCUGGACUGAUACUGACACUGAGGUGCGAAAGCGUGGGUAGCAAAC